GUGCCGGAAGGUCAAGGGGAGGGGUGCAAGCCCCGAACCGAAGCCCCGGUGAAC
Molecule: ribosomal RNA, 54 nt
Filed under: Thermus thermophilus
Lineage: Bacteria; Thermotogati; Deinococcota; Deinococci; Thermales; Thermaceae
Description: Fragment of23S rRNA (H68) from Thermus thermophilus (PDB 2OM7, chain G)
Source: RNAcentral